This 1014-nucleotide long non-coding RNA is filed under the name Pogona vitticeps (central bearded dragon). RNAcentral describes it as "lncRNA (ENSPVIG00000024662.1)". The record is from RNAcentral. Lineage: Eukaryota; Metazoa; Chordata; Lepidosauria; Squamata; Agamidae.
ACACAAAUAUUACCUGGCUUAUAUCCCACCCACAUGGUGGAGUGAGCUAAAUGUAUGAGAAACAAAUCACUGAGCUUUUCAUGCUGGUCUGGGUUAGACAUAGCUGGCCAUGCAUGGAUGAAUCAGUGUGCCUUUUGAGUACAGUUCCUGCCCCAAGAGAAGGGCUCAACAACUUCCUAUCUCUGUCACUCACAAGUCAUCAGAUAAUGAGCCCAAACAGUGUUAACAUAGUUUCCCCACAUGGAAAUACUUGCCCCAGGCCUUUGUCACUUCAUAGGCCUAUGUCCAGGGCAAAAAUUAAGUGUCAAGAGUCCAUCAGCUCUGAAGACAAUAGAUGGGCUUCAGGAUCUAGAAUCCUCAAGCAAGAACAGAUCACUAGAGCAGGAUCUUUCAGAGUCUACUUGCAAGCUUCGACACAAGAAGUUGUACAUGCUGCAGAUUCCCCAUCUCCUGUAUCAUGGCAAGUGGAAAGGUCUAGAAUAUCAGAGUGACAGAAGGAAGAGACUGCUAAACGGGCUUGUUCCACAGAAUGACCCCUGUAUGAGAUCCAUGGGGCUUCGUGAUCCUUGGCUUUACAUUUGAAGACCCAGUAGGUGGCUCCCCGAUUCCUUACAGUUUUAGAGUGUGAGAAGACACUGUUCACACCUUAAAACAUGGAGAGACUUGUGAGAGGGCAGGCGUUGGCAAAAAGAAGCCACCAUAUAUAGCUGUGGUAAUAUAAUGGUUGCAGCAGUAGCAGCUUUUCAGCAAACACCGAUCAUUGCUGCCUUGUAUGCUUAGACUACCGAAGCUCCACAAAGGGCUUUCACUUUAGAAAUAAGAGCAAGAAAGCUAGUUUUCAGGAAGAAUCUUCCUCUUUCGAAUCAAAGUGAAGAUCAAUGAUAAAAAGGCACAAAAGCAACUGUGUAUAUAUUAUCAAUAGUAUCGAACCGUAGCUAUUCAAUUUAUAGAUAACUGUGGUCUGGAAAGAACUGUGUAUAACAAUUUCUCACUGCCUUCAUCAAAGGGGUCCAA